RNAcentral lists this ribosomal RNA (814 nucleotides) under uncultured bacterium. RNAcentral describes it as "bacterial SSU rRNA". It matches the Rfam family "Bacterial small subunit ribosomal RNA", at positions 8 to 801 of the family's 1533-position model. The record is from RNAcentral.
AGAGUUUGAUCAUGGCUCAGGACGAACGCUGGCGGCGUGCUUAACACAUGCAAGUCAAGGAGAAAGUCCCGCUUGCGGGACAAGUAAACUGGCGAACGGGUGAGUAACACGUAGGUAAUCUGCCUUCGAGAUUGGGAUAACGUCGAGAAAUCGGCGCUAAUACCAAAUAAGGUCUCGGUAUAAUCUAUCGAGAUGAAAAGUGGGGAUCUUCGGACCUACUGCUUGAAGAUGAGCCUGCGUCUGAUUAGCUAGUUGGUAGGGUAAUGGCCUACCAAGGCGACGAUCAGUAGCUGGUCUGAGAGGAUGAUCAGCCACAUUGGGACUGAGAUACGGCCCAGACUCCUACGGGAGGCAGCAGUGAGGAAUUUUGCGCAAUGGGCGAAAGCCUGACGCAGCAACGCCGCGUGAUUGAUUGAAGCUUUGAGGAGUGUAAAGAUCUGUCGCAGGGGAAGAAAUAGUCCGACGAAAAUAUCUUCGGAUUUUGACGGUACCCUGUAAGAAAGCUCCGGCUAACUCCGUGCCAGCAGCCGCGGUAAUACGGGGGGAGCAAGCGUUGUCCGGAAUCACUGGGCGUAAAGAGCACGUAGGCGUCUUAGUAAGUUUCUGGUGAAAUACUUCUGCUCAACGGAAGAACUGCCAGAGAAACUGCUUAGAUUGAGUUCAGGAGAGGGAAGCGGAAUUCCUGGUGUAGCGGUGAAAUGCGUAGAUAUCAGGAAGAACACCGGUGGCGAAGGCGGCUUCCUAGUCUGAAACUGACGCUGAGGUGCGAAAGCGUGGGGAGCGAACAGGAUUAGAUACCCUGGUAGUCCACGCC